UACGUAGGGAGCAAGCGUUGUCCGGAUUUACUGGGCGUAAAGAGCGCGCAGGCGGUCGUUCAAGUCGCGUGUGAAAGCCCCCGGCUCAACUGGGGAGGGUCACGCGAUACUGAUCGACUGGAAGGCAGGAGAGGGUAGUGGAAUUCCCGGUGUAGUGGUGAAAUGCGUAGAUAUCGGGAGGAACACCAGUGGCGAAGGCGACUACCUGGCCUGUUCUUGACGCUGAGGCGCGAAAGCUAGGGGAGCAAACGGG
This 253-nucleotide ribosomal RNA is filed under the name uncultured bacterium. Its description in RNAcentral is "partial 16S ribosomal RNA". It matches the Rfam family "Bacterial small subunit ribosomal RNA", at positions 524 to 776 of the family's 1533-position model. The record is from RNAcentral.